This 530-nucleotide ribosomal RNA is filed under the name Streptomyces rameus. RNAcentral's name for it is "bacterial SSU rRNA". It matches the Rfam family "Bacterial small subunit ribosomal RNA", at positions 31 to 578 of the family's 1533-position model. The record is from RNAcentral. Lineage: Bacteria; Bacillati; Actinomycetota; Actinomycetes; Kitasatosporales; Streptomycetaceae.
GAACGCUGGCGGCGUGCUUAACACAUGCAAGUCGAACGAUGAACCACUUCGGUGGGGAUUAGUGGCGAACGGGUGAGUAACACGUGGGCAAUCUGCCCUUCACUCUGGGACAAGCCCUGGAAACGGGGUCUAAUACCGGAUAUGAGCUUCCUGGGCAUCGUGGAGGGUGUAAAGCUCCGGCGGUGAAGGAUGAGCCCGCGGCCUAUCAGCUUGUUGGUGAGGUAAUGGCUCACCAAGGCGACGACGGGUAGCCGGCCUGAGAGGGCGACCGGCCACACUGGGACUGAGACACGGCCCAGACUCCUACGGGAGGCAGCAGUGGGGAAUAUUGCACAAUGGGCGAAAGCCUGAUGCAGCGACGCCGCGUGAGGGAUGACGGCCUUCGGGUUGUAAACCUCUUUCAGCAGGGAAGAAGCGAAAGUGACGGUACCUGCAGAAGAAGCGCCGGCUAACUACGUGCCAGCAGCCGCGGUAAUACGUAGGGCGCAAGCGUUGUCCGGAAUUAUUGGGCGUAAAGAGCUCGUAGGCGG